Molecule: RNA transcript, 1698 nt
Organism: Rhopalosiphum maidis (corn leaf aphid)
Lineage: Eukaryota; Metazoa; Arthropoda; Insecta; Hemiptera; Aphididae
Gene name: heterogeneous nuclear ribonucleoprotein 87F-like
Exons: 11
Source: RefSeq, a predicted model, not a curated record
CGCACACAGACGCCUACGUUCCGAGUUUCAGAGUUCAGACUACGAGUUAUUGACUCGUUUUCCAUAGUACUGUCGGCCAAUUGUGACUUCCGUUUUUGUUUGUGAAUUUCAGUCUUUAUAACAUAAAUUUUUAAUCUUGUAAAUUAUUAAACACUUGAUUAAGAUUUGUUGAUUUCAAUUGACUAUUAUAUUACCGUUUUAUUUGCAUCACAUUUUCUAAUUUUGUUCGUAUUACGAGCUUCCUCAUCAAACAUGGGAUCUGACGAACCAGAACAAUACAGGAAAUUAUUCAUUGGUGGUUUAAACUAUACCACAACUAAUGAUUCACUUAAAGAAUUUUUUGAGCAAUGGGGUGAAAUUGUGGAUGUAGUUGUCAUGAAAGACCCUCAAACCAAGAGAUCUCGAGGAUUUGGAUUCAUUACUUAUUCUCAAUCGUCUAUGGUUGAUCAAGCCAUGUCAAAUAGACCCCAUAAAAUAGAUGGCCGUGAAGUGGAAACAAAGCGAGCUGUUCCACGUGACGAUAUUGAUAAACCAGACAUCGCAGCUACUGUAAAAAAAAUGUUUGUUUCUGGUAUUAAAGAACAAUCAGAAAACGAUCUUCUUGAAUAUUUUAGAAAAUUUGGUAAUAUCACUAAUGUAACAAUAGUAACUGAUAAAGAUUCUGGUCAAAGAAAAGGAUUUGGAUUUAUUGAGUAUGAUGAUACUGAUUCAGUUGACAAAGCUGUUUUGAUUAAAAGUCACCAAGUCGCUGGUGGAAAAUUGGAUGUGAAAAAAGCUAUUAGUCGUAGUGAUGGCGCUGGUGGUGGCCGUGGUGGACGAGGCGGUCGUGGUGGUGGCGGAGGAGGUGGUGGCAAUAGAAGUAGUUGGGGUGGAAAUCCACGAAAUGAACAAUGGGGAGGCCAUCAUAACAGAUCAAAUGGUGGCGGUGGAGGAUAUGGAAAUUCUGGAAUGGGAGGAGGAUAUGGCUCUGGCGGCGGUGGUGGUGGUGGUUAUGGAGGUAGUGCAGGUGGUUACAACUCAAAUUCUGGUGGAGCCUGGCAAGGUGGCGGCGGUGCUCCUCAAAGUUGGGGUAACAAUAAUCCAGCAUGGGGUAACCAAGGAGGUGGCGGUGAUAGUUGGGGAGGUUCACAACAACCUAGUAACAACUGGGGUCCAAAUCAAAGUUAUGGUGGUGGCGGUGGCCCGAUGAGAUCUAAUUAUACCUCUAAUAAUCGCGCUACACCUUAUGGAAACCCAGGUAGAGCCGGCAAUGUAAAUGCUGGUAAUGCUGGUUAUGGUCAAAAUCCUGGUCGGCGGUACUAAUGCAUCACUUUCAACUAAAGAAUGGAAAAGUGACUGUCAACUGAUGUGCAUUCACCAUGAAUGUUCUUUAAGAUUUUUGUCAUUGGUCCUCCUGUCACUAAAAGAAAAUCUACUGCAAGUAUAUUUCAUAUGUGAACCAUGAAAAUCAAUUUAUUCACAAGAAUAAACUUUGAUAAUAUGAAAAAUAGUAUAAGUGUUUACAGGAAUUUGAGAAGAUUUUGUCAGAGCUGUAUUGGCAAUCACACAUUGAUCGAGGUUUACAGUUCAGAUAUUCUGAAAUAUUUUCCAGACUGCCGGUGUUUCGAAAGUUGAAAUAUAAAAUUAAGUUAUCAUUUUUAUAAUGGGUACAAUUUAAUUUGUGUUUUGAGAAAAAUAUAUUCUUUUUUAAUAAACUUA